Molecule: ribosomal RNA, 253 nt
Filed under: uncultured bacterium
Lineage: Bacteria
Description: partial 16S ribosomal RNA
Rfam family: Bacterial small subunit ribosomal RNA
Source: RNAcentral
UACGGAGGAUGCAAGCGAUAUCCGGAUUUAUUGGGUUUAAAGGGUGCGUAGGCGGGACAGUAAGUCAGUGGUGAAAGUCUGCGGCUUAACCGUAGAAUUGCCAUUGAUACUGCUAUUCUUGAAUGUAGUUGAGGUAGGCGGAAUGUGUAAUGUAGCGGUGAAAUGCUUAGAUAUUACACAGAAAACCGAUUGCGUAGGCAGCUUACUAAGCGAUUAUUGACGCUGGAGCACUAAAUCGUCGGGAUCGACCAUG